Chlorocebus sabaeus (green monkey) is the source of this 482-nucleotide non-coding RNA. The record is from RefSeq and is a predicted model, not a curated record. Lineage: Eukaryota; Metazoa; Chordata; Mammalia; Primates; Cercopithecidae.
UUCCCCCCAGGCCCUGUCAGCAACCUCUCGUCUGUCUCUAGGAGGUCCGAGUUCUGCAGGAAAUGCAGCUGCUCCAAGUGGCUGCCAUGAAUUACAGACUUCAGCCUUUGGAUAAAUUUGUCACCUAUUUCCCAAGAAUGGAGCAGCUCAGUGACAAGGAGAGCUACAAGCUGUCCUGCCAGCUGGAGCCCGAAUUCCAGUAGGCUGGCAACAUCCUGCAGUGGCUGGGACCCCACCAGGAUGCUGCCCAGAACACCGGCUCUGCACCAUCCUUCACCCAGACCGUGACACCAGGGAACCACAUCUAGGUGGCUGGCAGCUCAGCUGCAUCUGGCCCCUGCUCCUCAACACAAGCUGCUCCUGCUGGCCCGGAUCAGGCCAUGGGACUUUUGCGAGUCAGGGGGAGAUCAUUUUAUGGUUAUUUUCUUUAGUGUAUACGUAAGGGUUUUUUUCUUAACUUUCAUUAAAAUAAAAUUUUAAAA